RNAcentral lists this ribosomal RNA (127 nucleotides) under Escherichia coli O121:H19 str. 2010C-3840. RNAcentral's name for it is "partial 23S ribosomal RNA". The stretch from base 1 to 110 matches the Rfam family "Bacterial large subunit ribosomal RNA", at positions 2813 to 2925 of the family's 2925-position model. Lineage: Bacteria; Pseudomonadati; Pseudomonadota; Gammaproteobacteria; Enterobacterales; Enterobacteriaceae. The record is from RNAcentral.
CCUUGAGAGUCCUGAAGGAACGUUGAAGACGACGACGUUGAUAGGCCGGGUGUGUAAGCGCAGCGAUGCGUUGAGCUAACCGGUACUAAUGAACCGUGAGGCUUAACCUUCCAACGCCGAAGCUGUU